AGUGAAUAGAUACCCGGGUAGUCCACGCCCUAAACGAUGUCUACUAGUUGUUGGAGGAGUGAAAUCCUUUAGUAAACGCAGCUAAACGCGUGAAGUAGACCGCCUGGGGAGUACGGUCGCAAGAUUAAAACUCAAAGGAAUUGACGGGGGCCCGCACAAGCGGUGGAUUAUGUGGAUUAAUUCGAUGCAACGCGAAAAACCUUACCUGGCCUUGACAUGCCACUAACGAAGCAGAGAUGCAUUAGGUGCCCGAAAGGGAAAGUGGACACAGGUGCUGCAUGGCUGUCGUCAGCUCGUGUCGUGGGAUGUUGGGUUAAGUCCCGCAACGAGCGCAACCCUUGCCAAUAAUUGCCAUCAUUUAGUUGGGCACUUUAUUGGGACUGCCGGUGACAAACCGGAGGAAGGUGGGGAUGACGUCAAGUCCUCAUGGCCCUUAUGGCCAGGGCUUCACACGUAAUACAAUGGUCGGUACAGAGGGUUGCCAACCCGCGAGGGGAGCCAAUCCCAGAAAGCCGAUCGUAGUCCGGAUUGUUCUCUGCAACUCGAGA
Molecule: ribosomal RNA, 548 nt
Filed under: uncultured bacterium
Lineage: Bacteria
Description: bacterial SSU rRNA
Rfam family: Bacterial small subunit ribosomal RNA
Source: RNAcentral